Small nucleolar RNA from Vombatus ursinus (common wombat), 76 nucleotides. Its record names the gene U3. It matches the Rfam family "Small nucleolar RNA U3". Rfam says of the family: Small nucleolar RNAs (snoRNAs) are involved in the processing and modification of rRNA in the nucleolus. There are two main classes of snoRNAs: the box C/D class, and the box H/ACA class. U3 snoRNA is a member of the box C/D class. Lineage: Eukaryota; Metazoa; Chordata; Mammalia; Diprotodontia; Vombatidae. The record is from Ensembl.
UAGACUACACUUUUAGGGAUCAUUUCUAUAGUAUGUUACUAGAUCAUUGUGGCUGAAAGUAUAGCACGUAGCAUGU